AAGGGCUGACGGGCUAGAUCUAGUAGGAGUGUUGUUUAUCUCAAUUGUGAAUCUUCAGAAUCGAAGAAGACAUGUCAGCCGUUAUUAGCGCAGUUGCUAUGUUGGUGGUUGUAGCUGUUUUAGUGAUAGUAGUUAUUUUCCUUUGCACAAACUUACUGAAUUGUAAACACUGCCGGGCCGAAAGGAGACUUCACCAACCGGAACCGGUAGUGACGUUAAAGGACAAAAAUGGAAAUGUGAAAGUUCCAUAUGCAUCUGCUGAUACCGAAAAAAACAACAUCCAUGUGAUCACCUUCCCGCCAUCUUACGAUGAAUGUAUGGCGUCACAAAAUUAUUUUCGGGACAUGGAACAGGAAGCAAGUAAAUGCUAGCUGUGCGGAGGCCACACGGAACUUUCGCUUUGUGGGAGGCAUACUAAUCGGGCGAGACGCUCCGAAUGGAGGCCUAGUUUCGUAUGACUAGUAUGAGAAACAAUUUAAAAGGAAUAUGUACAACUGAUUUUGUUUAUUAAUAAAAACAUAAUAAAAUUUUA
This is a long non-coding RNA of Pecten maximus, 532 nucleotides long. RefSeq lists it as uncharacterized. The record is from RefSeq and is a predicted model, not a curated record. The transcript has 2 exons. NCBI's taxonomy places the organism in Eukaryota, Metazoa, Mollusca, Bivalvia, Pectinida, Pectinidae.